AGUGAACGCUGGCGGUAGGCCUAACACAUGCAAGUCGAACGGCAGCACCGUAAGAGCUUGCUCUUACGGGUGGCGAGUGGCGGACGGGUGAGGAAUACAUCGGAAUCUACUUUUUCGUGGGGGAUAACGUAGGGAAACUUACGCUAAUACCGCAUACGACCUACGGGUGAAAGCAGGGGAUCUUCGGACCUUGCGCGAUUGAAUGAGCCGAUGUGGGAUUAGCUAGUUGGCGGGGUAAAGGCCCACCAAGGCGACGAUCCGUAGCUGGUCUGAGAGGAUGAUCGGCGACACUGGAGCUGGGACACGGUCCAGACUCCUACGGGAGGCAGCAGUGGGGAAUAUUGGACAAUGGGCGCAAGCCUGAUCCAGCCAUACCGCGUGGGUGAAGAAGGCCUUCGGGUUGUAAAGCCCUUUUGUUGGGAAAGAAAAGCAGCAGGUUAAUACCCCGCUGUUCUGACGGUACCCAAAGGAUAAGCACCGGCUAACUUCGUG
This 492-nucleotide ribosomal RNA is filed under the name uncultured bacterium. RNAcentral's name for it is "partial 16S ribosomal RNA". It matches the Rfam family "Bacterial small subunit ribosomal RNA", at positions 29 to 507 of the family's 1533-position model. The record is from RNAcentral.